GAAGAGCCUACAAUUUAGGUAACAAAAAGAGGAACACAGCUAACUAAGUAGUGAUCGCUACACACUUGUGACUGCUGAGUGUUCUAUGGGGGAAGCAGGGUGGAUGGCAGUGGGAAAAUCAACUAAGUGGGUAUUUUUUGCAGUAAUCAUUGAAAUGGGUUUAAUGGCCACAAAACUUUGGCAAAGGUAUAUUUGUGAAUGCCCUAAAUAAUAUCCUAUUUUGCCUAUUCAAAAAAAAAAAAAACACUUUACUUCCCAAUAUCCUUAUGCACUUGCAUCACUUCUGACAUACACUGAUAUACUACAUUUCUGAACAUUUCUGGAAUUCAGACAUUUUAUAGUAUAAUCCUUCCAUUUUGCUUGAUCUUCAAAGAACUGGCUGAAGGAAUGCAUUUUCUUGUCCUGCCUCAUCGAGGUUUUGAGUGCCCUUGACAGCUAAAGAACAGAGGUUUGGCCAUGCCUGCUUGGCUAAUCCACCACGUGUCAGAAAGUCCUUUCCCUUUGGUUCAGCUUUCUGGUCAGUUCAGUCGAGUGGCAAUGUUCAGUGUCACCCAGAGAACUCCGUGUAUUUAAAUUCCUCUGUAGGAAUGUCUGGGGCUGUUCUGCAGGCAACAUCCUGUUCCCAUCCUGCAGGCAGCCGCGGAAGCAGGGAGCACGUUCCUGAUGGCCAGCAUGCCCUCAAGUCAUUUUCGUCUGCAGAUCCUGAUUCAUCUCAGCCUGUCUCGGCAUGCCACUUCGCCAGACCACUUAGCAUCCCCAACAACACCGUUUCUUCUUGUGUCUCCCAGGUAAAGAUGCAGAUUGUUAUCCAGCAGCCAGGAGUAUCUGGAGCACAGCCUCCUCCUAGCCUGACCGUGACGGUGACCCAGUCCCUACCCAAAGGCUGCUGGGGGCAUGGAGGAGAGCCAUUUUCCCCAUGUAGCCCUGCCUAGGAUCUCGCUCUUCCCUUGGCCAUCCAAGUGUGAAUCACCACGGGCUGCUACCCCCGGCUGCGCAAUCCCUUCACACCGCCAGGGUGGUAUAAACACAGAGCGCUCCAUCGCUUGUUUGGUAUUUCACUUCUCCAUUGAAACUUGAAACAGCUUGGCAUGAACAGUGCAACCAGAUGUGGCCAGACUCUGAGAUCCUCACACAUCCCAGCACAGCCCUUUUUAAUGUAAGAGCGACAUGACUAAUACCUGAGCAAACAUUUAAGGAACUGGUCUUGUUUCUCUAGAAGUGCAGAAGUGAGGAUGUCACUGCUCCUCUCUGCAGCAAGCUUUUUAUUGUCAUAUUUAUUAUUCUCCAAGCAUUAUACCUUUUCUCCUGUUGAGAAGAUGAUGGCUCCUUUAUCAGAACCAGUCAGUGCAAACUGUGAGAUGAUACAAAACAGACAUCAUGCAUCUGCUGAAGACUGGGACCAAAGAUGGAAGCAAAAGAUUAUAACAGAGCACAGCUGGCUGAUAAGCAUGUUUAAAUUUUGCAGAGAUAAGCUGUGAGAACAGGAAGGAGUUCUUUCUCUCCCUUCUGUUUGUUUAGCUUUCUUUAAUUGUUUAUUUCUAGGAUGAAAAACAUGCCCAUUCAGACUUAUCAAGUAAAUUAAAGCAAGGCACAGGGAGAAAUUUGUCUCGUUAGAAAUAUGAAACCCCUAUCAUGGCCUGAAGUAAACAGGACUUUCCAUUUUCCAGAGCCACGUAUGAUUGUGAAGGGUCGGGCAAGUACGAGCUCUCCUUGCUGACGUUUGCGGCUGAGCCCUGGCCUGUGUAAAGCAGCGAAGUCGGACUGUGGGUCCGCCUGGCUCCCCUGGCUCCAAGACAGGGAGGGAGGGAGAGAGACUACACGAGCGCCACCUCACUUACAGAUGUGAGACGGCAGCGCGGGGAAGUUUCAUAACUCCUCUCGCAGGGCGAAACACUCUUAUGAUUUAUUUGGAUCAUUGCAGCGUGCAUGCUAAGUACAGGUUAUUCUGCAGGCAUCCUCAGCGAGUGAGCAUCUGCUCCUGCUCUCCACAGAUGUAAAAAUCAGGCUCUCGAAAAGUGUUUUUAUAAGGAGAACAAAGCACGCAAACAAAAAAAAAGCACUCCAAGGAAGUGUUACAGUCUGAGGGACUGAUUCUGCUGCCAUAGGAAGAAAUGGACAUUUUCCCAGUGUGCUUCAAAGAGCCAGAAUGCCACAGGCAGCUAAACUGCCAUUGCAAAAAGGGGGUGUUGCAUUACCCUUCUUCCUCUGCUUGCCUUGUCCUGAAGGCAAGUCUCUGAGUCUGAGUCCUCCUCCGAUCCCUUCCUGGAGCUGCAACCCUGCAGCUGCUCCCGUGGAUCCCCACUGGUGCUAAAGAAGCUGCGGCAUCAGAUCAGUGAUCUAUAACAUCUCACUUCUUCCUCUCUGACCCAGAGCACGUGUAGGAGGCCCCGUUUCGUCAUGCAGCACAACACGCUUUCAAAAUGAUUAAAGAAACUCUACCCUAGCUCACUGUUCGCGUUCGGGUAACAGCAAUAACGCAGAAGCAAGCAGCACGUUCAGCUGUGCUCUCCGGGUGCUUUAUGCCCCUCUGGAGAUGCAAAGCUGCCAGCGAGCCGGGUGUCUGCCAGCUUUGCCUCCCUGGAGCCAUGCCAAGCAGCCAGAGGAGUGCCAGCGAAUAACCCGCCUAACCUCUCAUUUGCACCACUGUAGCUCAGGCACUCUAACACUUUGUAUCGUAAGACUUUGGUUCAGGCCUUCAAGACCUGUCAUGAAGGGCUGAGACCAUAUCAGACCAAGAAGGGUAAUUUUAUGAUGCUCCCCUCCUACAUUUUAAACAGCACCAGCAUGAAAUGGAAAACAAAAUGGAGCUAUUGAAGUCAGAUAUGCUCUCACCAGUCAUCUUUGGUGGGGAGGGAUGGGAGAAAUGUUUUGUUUUCUUCUUUAGAAUAUAUUAGGAGACUAGUGUGUUAGUGCAAUAGGCAAAGAAAGUACAGCUGAUAUAAACAAUGUGUUCCUUGUGCUUUAAACAAUGUGGAUUGCUCACAUGGCCCAAACGUUUGGAUAACUACCUAAAACUUGUUUGCAAAGAUCGCAGUGCAAACGUACAGAAACCAGCUGUCCUCAUAAAGCUUGUUAGUUAUGUUGAAGCCUGGUGAUCCACCUGACUCAGCUCAACACCAGCUUACUGCUUCCUCUGUUGUCCCUGCUGUUGUUACUGCUGCAAGAAUUUUUGUUUCACAUACAUUUGUGAAAAAAUCCAUCUUUUUAGUGGAAAAAGACCCCUAGGCGUUGCACAGUAUCUCUGAAAAACCUGUCCUUGGCUCUAGAAGCGCCUUCAGUGCGAUGAUGUGAAUUAAUCACUAAUUCACUAAUCCUCGCAGUGACACAGUCCCCAAAGGGCUCAGUCGCCCCGGCUCCGCCGCCAACGUUACGGGCCAGGAAUGCGCGGGGUCGCCGCGCGGGGCCACGCAGCACGGCCAGCCGCACGCAAGCACGCCCCACAGCCGCCUGCAAUGGCCCAGACUUUGGUAGGGCUUCAGAAAUGUAACAAGCUACUGCUCUGACUUAGAUUGCAGGAGCAUGCUCUGGAUGACGAGAAGGAUGAUUUACUUAAGUAGACAUAGCAGCUGAGGGCACCCAUUAAAACUGAAGCAUCCAUGUCCUAGGUAAUUAUAAUCGGUGGUGAAAAACAGGCUUUACCCUUGUAAAAGUUUCUAUCUAAUUAUACGUUUUGCUCCAAAAUUAUUACAAAGUAUUUUAUUGCACACUGGUUUCAUUCAUAUAAAUGACAAAUAUUUUAAUAAGUACCUUAAAUUCACGUGAAAGAUUCAAAAAGACACAAGGAAUUGCAUGUGCCUUGUAGUUAUCUAGUUCCUGUAAGAUCAUGUUUUUAUGAUAGAUUGUGUAAGAUGGAAGUAUAAAUACACAGUGUAAAAAUUACCUGAAGGCUUGCAUAUUCCCAAUAUGUGUUUUCCUGUUUCUACAUUUUAAAAAAGUAGAACAAGCUGGAUCAAAUUCACAGUAGAAAAAAUAAAAUUCAAAUGACAAAGAAGAUCUCAGACUGUGGGCUCAAAGCUUUAACACUACUUUUUCUUCACCAUGUUGGUGGCAAAUUGUACAGCAGUUCUUAUCAUCUUCUAGAGUGCUCCUGGAUGAAAAGGGUAACAUGUCCAGCAUAGGCACUGUAAAAUCCCCAUGAAAAACAGUAAACUAGUGUUUGUGGUGUCUUUCACUGUAGUUACUGUAUCAGUACCCAGAAUAUAUCAGUUCAUUUGUAUGAAGUGAUAUUUUUUUGGAGCAGGGGAAGGAAGGGAAGGAGAAGACCUGAGGUGCCAAAAGGUGAGGGAUACGCACUCAUGCAGGAGAACAAAGCUCAAACCAAGAAAAGAAACAGCAGGCUGGAUUUCAUGUGGCUGCUGUGAGACCUGGUUUGUAUGUGUUUUGCAUGAUGUGCUUCCAUGUAGGAGAAACAGCAAUAGGAGCAGAGAUACAGCUCAGUAUGUUGUAAAAAAAUAAUUGGAUUGGCAAGAUAAUCACAUACAAGAUACCUAAUAACUGCAUUUUCUUUUCAUUGUUUUAAAUAGGUCACAUCACUCUGAAUCAAAUUUUCCUCUCUGGUGCAGGCCAAGCAUGUGACUCUUUGUAGCUUUAAAAAAGGGAGCAGCAGCAGACCCUUGGGGUAUAGCAAUAUUAUAGCAGCCACGCAACAGAUUUCUGCAUUCAGAAAAGCUUUUUAGUGUUGGGUCAGGCAACAGCUAAGCAGAGACAUAUGAUUUUUUUUCCCUGUUGUCAGAAGAAAAUGUGGAACUGAUAAGAAACACCUGUGGAAAUGGAAAGCCAUUUCAGACACCAGGGUUUGUUUAGAUGAUGAAGAGAUAAAACUAACAGCAUGUGUUGUAAGGUCAGAUAAUCUUGAACAGAAUGUCUGUUUGAAAAAAGAAAAAGGAAGAAGCAAUAGUACGUUUCAGGUAAUCAGCUCUCUGUGCAAAGAAAGGUCCUAGAGGAUCAUAAGGCAACAUCGGUGCAGUAUGUAAAAAAGCAUGAGCUACAUGGAUGUUAUUCAUUCAUUUCUCUUCAUAGAAACAUGAUUCCAUUUACAUUUUAUUUGCAUCUUGUAAAUAUUUUCUCAGAACCCUAGCAGGACACUGGAAAUUAUAAAAGCACACAUUACCAGCUGAACAUAUGUAACCAAGGUUUUCUCUUUGCUUGCAGCUCAGCCUAUUCCACGUGCUCUGAUUUAAAGCUCUAUAAUACAAUUACCACAUAGGAAUUCUGUUUAGUUACAUUUAACUUUUGUGAGGGAAGCAAAAGACUUGUCAGAUCAUUUGUCUUAUUUAAUGCAAACAUAUUUCCAUGCUUUUGUCCUGCAAAAAAAGGAACUUUUAAAGGAAGUCUAUCUCAAUAUUUCUUUGCAUAGUCUGGAAUGCGUGAAGUAAUUAAAAGAUAAGAACUGGGAAA
Dromaius novaehollandiae (emu) is the source of this 5397-nucleotide long non-coding RNA. RefSeq lists it as uncharacterized. The transcript is spliced from 3 exons. The record is from RefSeq and is a predicted model, not a curated record. Lineage: Eukaryota; Metazoa; Chordata; Aves; Casuariiformes; Dromaiidae.